RNAcentral lists this ribosomal RNA (465 nucleotides) under Vreelandella stevensii. RNAcentral's name for it is "partial 16S ribosomal RNA". It matches the Rfam family "Bacterial small subunit ribosomal RNA", at positions 338 to 795 of the family's 1533-position model. The record is from RNAcentral. Lineage: Bacteria; Pseudomonadati; Pseudomonadota; Gammaproteobacteria; Oceanospirillales; Halomonadaceae.
CCUACGGGUGGCUGCAGGGGAGAAUAUUGGACAAUGGGGGCAACCCUGAUCCAGCCAUGCCGCGUGUGUGAAGAAGGCCCUCGGGUUGUAAAGCACUUUCAGUGAGGAAGAACGCCUGGUGGUUAAUACCCAUCAGGAAAGACAUCACUCACAGAAGAAGCACCGGCUAACUCCGUGCCAGCAGCCGCGGUAAUACGGAGGGUGCGAGCGUUAAUCGGAAUUACUGGGCGUAAAGCGCGCGUAGGUGGCUUGAUAAGCCGGUUGUGAAAGCCCCGGGCUCAACCUGGGAACGGCAUCCGGAACUGUCAAGCUAGAGUGCAGGAGAGGAAGGUAGAAUUCCCGGUGUAGCGGUGAAAUGCGUAGAGAUCGGGAGGAAUACCAGUGGCGAAGGCGGCCUUCUGGACUGACACUGACACUGAGGUGCGAAAGCGUGGGUAGCAAACAGGAUUAGAUACCCGGGUAGUC